Molecule: ribosomal RNA, 477 nt
Filed under: uncultured bacterium
Lineage: Bacteria
Description: bacterial SSU rRNA
Rfam family: Bacterial small subunit ribosomal RNA
Source: RNAcentral
GCUGGCGGCAGGCUUAACACAUGCAAGUCGAGCGGUAGCAGAUCUAGCUUGCUAGAUGCUGACGAGCGGCGGACGGGUGAGUAACGCGUAGGAACCUGCCCAGUAGUGGGGGAUAGCCCGGGGAAACUCGGAUUAAUACCGCAUACGCUCUACGGAGGGAAAGAGGGGCUUCGGCUCUCGCUAUUGGAUGGGCCUGCGUGAGAUUAGCUAGUUGGUGAGGUAAUGGCUCACCAAGGCGACGAUCUCUAGCUGGUCUGAGAGGAUGAUCAGCCACACUGGGACUGAGACACGGCCCAGACUCCUACGGGAGGCAGCAGUGGGGAAUAUUGCACAAUGGGCGCAAGCCUGAUGCGGCCAUGCCGCGUGUGUGAAGAAGGCUUUCGGGUUGUAAAGCACUUUCAGUGGGGAGGAAGGCCUCGUAGUUAAUAGCUGCGAGGAUUGACGUUACCCACAGAAGAAGCACCGGCUAACUCCGUG